AUUUCAAAACCUGUUGUUACGAUGCUUUUAUUAUGACUCAGCAUUCCUUUGGUCUACUUGACAUAAAUAUACAAUAUUACAAAUUAUAGGGUAAAUCUCCUUUACCUUACUAAAAAGAAAACUUAGGCUUGUGUUGUUUUCAUAGCAGUAGAAAACAGGGUCAGUAUGUGCUCAGGAAUAAGGGCGGAUAGAGCUGGAGCAGAGACGUGGAAGACAUUCAGGGGCUUUGCUAAGUGGAAGCACUGUGCCAGGGCAGUGAGUGGGGAGGCAGCAGGGACCUGCUGCCUGCCGAAUUGCAUCCCUGAUCUGACUCUUACUGACAGCCCGCAGCAACUGAGGUCUCCAAAGGGAAACGGCUGAAAGAAAAACAGGAUAAGAAUCAGGUGAAGGGGAAAAGGUUGGCAGAGAAAACAGGUAGCUGUGAAGUUAAAUACAAAUUAAGGCCUUUAGUGUAAUCUCUUGAGAUCUCAUGAUGACCAAGGCUGGAGGACUUGCCCUUGAGCAGGAGAAGGGUGUGGGGCAGGGUGAGACCAGGGGAGGGCUGACUGCAGAGCAGAUGUAUGGGAGAGAGGGUGGACAAAAGUUCUCUACUGUAAAAAAUCACAAUAGUUGGAACGAGCAGAAAAGGAGAAGAUUAAAAGGUGGAUGGUUCAGGGGAAACAGAAAACAUUCACUUCUGUAUGACACUGCAAAGACAUGUUACCUAGAGGGUUUGGCAGCGGUAGGUAGUAUCUUCUUUUGCCAGUAUUUUAAGGAGUUCUCUGUGUAACAGCAUUUGAUAUCUCCAGCUCAGGCACUCCUGGUUUUCCUGAACACAGUUCAAUAGCAGCAUGUUCACCUGCCCUUCAGCCUUGUGCUUUCCAUAGCUGCUGGGGCUGCAGCACUUGUGCUCUCAGCAUAGUGAGCAUGGGAAGACAAACUCCAGUUGCAGCAGAAAUUCAUGGCAUUCAUUUUGGUGGUGCCAACAGGGUCACAGUGUAACAAACAGCUGCUCCUGGUGUGUUGAGUGAGUUGUGAAACGGCUCCUUCCGCCACUGGUCCCAUGUGUCUGUGUGCUUUUCCACCACGGCUUGCCCACGGUGCAUGUGUCCAUCAUGAUGCUUUCCAGGAUGGUGAGGUGAUUAGGAGAUAGGCUCCAAGUGAGCUGUCCCGUUUCCAUACAGGGUGCAUCGGCAGUGGUGGUGUUGAAGUAGCCCCAGCUGCUUAUCCCACUUAAUUUUAGGAGUUUCAUUGCAGUGGUUUGUCCUCAGUCUUGUUUUCAGAGUUGCCAGCACAAAGCAAAUGGAGUUGCCCAAUUUGGACAUAGAAAGAUGCUCCUUUUAUCACUUACGUCCCACC
RNAcentral lists this long non-coding RNA (1338 nucleotides) under Strigops habroptila (Kakapo). RNAcentral describes it as "lncRNA (ENSSHBG00005021233.1)". Lineage: Eukaryota; Metazoa; Chordata; Aves; Psittaciformes; Psittacidae. The record is from RNAcentral.